GGCCCAACAGGUUGUACCAUACCGAACUGCAGAGAGUACUGAUGCCCAGCACUUUGGAAUCACUAACACAAUACAUAAUCAGAAAAAAAGAAAAAAAAAAAAAAAAAAGGUUUUGCAACUCUAUAGCAAACCAAAUGGUGGUAUUAUUAAACUUAUGAUUUAACCCAAUUGCUGACUGCUACAUCAUAAUACAACCUCAUGCAGCAGCAUACAAAGAAUGAGGAUCCUGGUGUGGCCAUACUGUUUUGUGGCUCUGGUAGCAGGAUGCUAGUUCUUCCUUUGUCAGAUCUUCUCAUCUAAUGACAUCAAAGCAGCUGAAAAAUGUAAGCUAGGUUAAGAUGAAUGCAUGUGUCACUUGUACUCCCCUGGCUGGGAGCCUCAACCCUGACCAAAACAAAGUCCUUGCAGGAUCCAGGCUUCAACCUGCAGAUUUUCCAUGGCAGAAACCUGUGCUCAUAUUUAUCCCUGAAAAUUACAUGGGGACAAUGAAGAGAGAUCAUGAGUUUGAGCUGGCACAAGUGUUGAAGGAGUCUCCAGUGCAAGCUGAUGCCCCUCAUUAAAAUACCAGGGAUUUUUGCUACCUGACUCAGGUAGAAGUUCUCCAGGUGCAAAAAUUGCAAAAAUAAAGCAGUUCAAGUGUAUUACA
RNAcentral lists this long non-coding RNA (646 nucleotides) under Anas platyrhynchos platyrhynchos (common mallard). RNAcentral's name for it is "lncRNA (ENSAPLG00000016746.1)". The record is from RNAcentral. Lineage: Eukaryota; Metazoa; Chordata; Aves; Anseriformes; Anatidae.